CUAGUACAAAUUUUGUGCAAGAUAUUUAGAAGAAAAAAAAGUGUACAGUUUUUAUUUUGAUCACCCUGUAGAUGCCUCCUUUUCUGUCACUGAUAGUUCUCCACUGGCAAGAAUCUAUAUGUUGCUAAGUUCAAUCUGAAUGAUUAUAUCUAUGCACUUUUUUUUGACAAUGUUUUGUUUUCACACAAACCGUUGACAUUGUAUAUAUGUAUAAUAUACAUUUUGUAGUUGGGAAAAUUGGCUAUGUCAUUUGGGUGGUGACAUUGAGUGUGUGAUAUCUCUUGUUUGCUGAAAUGUUAUAAAGUUUGUUUUCUUGUGUGUUGUCAGCCCCCAUCCAGUUUCUUCUUUUUCUUUUUUUCUUAGGAAUGAAACCUCUAGCUUAAAGUCAUUGGUAUAAAGAGAAUGGAAACUCUGUUGAAAUUUCUUCUUUGAGAAAAAUAGGUUUUCAUAUCAAGGUGUCAACUGCAAACUCUUGAACAAAGGAGCAUUGAGAAUUUUGAUUGUGGCAAUACUGUAGGGUGAAUAGGUGCAGUAUUUACAGACAUAAUGAAAUAUUAUUCCUGUAGUACAGAAUGUAUCCAUUAAAGCUCAAAGAAAGACUGUAAUACAAAAUAUUUCCCCUAGAAUUUGAAGAGUGGUUGUAUGAAAUACUUCCUGUAAAAUUUGAAGACCGUGCGGAAAUUUGUAAUGUUUUUGUAAUGUAUUUUAAUGCAACUUGUCCCUCUAGUUUUUUGCCUGUUAGAAUGCAUGUUUUUCCUCUCUCAUACAUUUUGAGACUUAUUAAGAAAAGUAUGCUUCUUCUGUGACUUUGAUAUAGAGGAUUAUACAAAUAUAACAAAAGAUUCCUGCGGAGUUUAAAAGUACUGUACUACAAAAUAUUUCCUGUAGUGUUUAAAAGUAGUGUUAUACAACAUAAAAUAUUUCUUGUAGAAUGUAAAGAUUUGUAGUAAUAGGUGUUUCCUGUUUGAUUUGAAGUAUUCUUUUACAAAUAUUUCCAUUAGUUUUUUUUACACCUGAGAAGAAAAUGUUUUCUCCCUUUUUUGUAUAUUUAGAGACUUAUUGAGUAGUCUUCUGCUUGCAUGAGAUCGCUGCGUAGAAUGAAAUACAAAAUAUUUUCUGUAGAGUUGGAGGAAGUAUGAUACCUACUUGUGUGUUCACUGCUGAUGCGCUUCAGGUGCUUGCUAUAAUAAUAUUAUCUGCAUUUAUAACUAGAGAACAGCGAGGUGUAAAAAAAAAAUGAUCGCAUGUUUGUGUUUUCCACCUACAUGAGUUAAAUAUAUAAAUAUAUGUGUGAGUAGUCUUUCACAUAGAUAACGACUUGUUAAAGAAAUGGUGCUUAUAGUUGUAAGAACUGUUGUUGGUUUUUGAAAUGUGGUGGCUAGCUUUAAAAGUGUAUGGGAGAAUAUGGAGCAAUGAUAAGAACUGAAUAGGAUGAAAUAUAGAAACUUUGAAUUUUUUAAUCACUUUUAGCUAAAUUUACUGUGCCCAUGAUACUACGACGUGGAAUUGAUGAUUUCACUCGUCAGACAUAUUAGAUUUUGUAGAGUUUGUUGUAUAAAUGUUAUUUUCUAAGAAGGAAAAAUUUUCCAAUCAGCCAAACAAUUUGGUUUAGAAGGGUACAUUUUUUGCCAUAAGACUACUACUUAGAAUACAUAGGCCCCUUUUUAUGUAUUUGCACCCCGUCAAAUAUAUAGAUUGGUAAUAUGGGGUGCCCAUUGGCCCCAUCAGGUUGGGCCGGGUCGGUUCGGUUUGCUAUCCAGAUUGAGGGCACAAAGCGGCUAUCGUGGCACAAAUUGAUGGCUCAACUCGUCGCCUCUAAAACAAACACGUUUGUUUUCAGGCGACGAGUUGGGUGAUGGACCCAACCAGACCCGACCCAUUCCCAUUUGCAAUGGGCACCCGGUAUAAGGUACAUUGUGCCCAUGUGGCUCCUAAGUAGAAAAUGUAUUCUCACUCUUUCAGACAUAUUGAUUUAAUAAGGCACAUUGUAUCUAUAGAGAUGUAUAUAUAUAUAAAGAUCCUGAGGAGAAUAUUUAUUUUCCCUCAGUCAUAUGAGUUGAGUCACAUUUCAUAUAAUAUCCUCUAUCCUUGAGAAUUGGAAAAGUCCACGCGAUAUUUUAUAAGUAGGAUCCAGAUCAGGGUUUAAAGUGUUUUUAGUAAUACGAAAAUAUAGAUAAUGUGUACACAUAUCUUUUGUCAUGUUGUAAGUUGCAACUUAAUUUAAGGAUUUUUCUUAAUAGAUUUUAUAUUUUAAAAAAUAGAACUUCUACUUGAUGUUCUGUAAUUUUAUAUGACAGUAGUUGUCGAUGCUGUGCUGGGAUGGGAAAUUUGGGAACUAGGCGCUGUUUUUUUUAUUGUCUUCAGGAUUUCCUUGAAGGUAAAGUUUUCUUUGAUUAGGUUGUUAUACAACAUUUGACAUGUGUUCACCCAAAUUUUUGUCCUUUUGAAAAUGAAAGAUGUUCAUUUUGUUUCUGUCACAUUAGUGAAAGUCUGAUGCUUAUAAGUGUUUGUCUUCAAUAUGGGUUGAAAAGACUUUUU
Molecule: long non-coding RNA, 2538 nt
Organism: Aplysia californica (California sea hare)
Lineage: Eukaryota; Metazoa; Mollusca; Gastropoda; Aplysiida; Aplysiidae
Exons: 2
Source: RefSeq, a predicted model, not a curated record